Molecule: long non-coding RNA, 387 nt
Filed under: Homo sapiens (human)
Lineage: Eukaryota; Metazoa; Chordata; Mammalia; Primates; Hominidae
Description: HSALNT0050439
Source: RNAcentral
AAUAAAUGGACUCAGGAAGGAAUAAAACCCAAGGUGUCCUCUUCACCAGCAUCAUUCAGAACCACCUCACUCCUCAGGGGCCACAGAAGUGCUGAAUAAAAUGAAAAGACACACGAUCCAGAUGGUGACCCUGUAAAGCCACCACCUGCUUGCAAGCCUGUCUCUGUGCUUCUGCUGAGAAACAGAAUGCCAUUUCCCUUAGUGCCUGUCUUGUAAAUAAUCACCGCUCCCCAACCAGCCAUUCCCCAAAUGACAAGAACCAUCCUGUGGCCUUCUCCGCUCCCCAGCCUGGCCUGGCCUCAUUGUGCCUUGGAACUCUGUCCUCCUGCCUCACUCAAAAGGUACAUGAUUUGUAUCUUACUCCCACAACAGCGUGAUCCGAUGUCA